AGCAUCGCAUGAUGCAGUGUGAAAAAUUCCGGUGGUGUGAGAUGGACCCGCGUUGGAUUAGCUAGUUGGCAGGGCAGCGGCCUACCAAGGCGACGGUCCAUAGCCGGCCUGAGAGGGUGAACGGCCACAUUGGGACUGAGACACGGCCCAGACUCCUACGGGAGGCAGCAGUGGGGAAUAUUGCACAAUGGGGGAAACCCUGAUGCAGCGACGCCGCGUGAAGGAAGAAGUAUCUCGGUAUGUAAACUUCUAUCAGCAGGGAAGAAAAUGACGGUACCUGACUAAGAAGCCCCGGCUAACUACGUGCCAGCAGCCGCGGUAAUACGUAGGGGGCAAGCGUUAUCCGGAUUUACUGGGUGUAAAGGGAGCGUAGACGGUGUUGCAAGUCUGAUGUGAAAGGCGGGGGCUCAACCCCUGGACUGCAUUGGAAACUGUGAUACUCGAGUGCCGGAGAGGUAAGCGGAAUUCCUAGUGUAGCGGUGAAAUGCGUAGAUAUUAGGAGGAACACCAGUGGCGAAGGCGGCUUACUGGACGGUAACUGACGUUGAGGCUCGAAAGCGUGGGGAGCAAACAGAAGUAGAUCCCCUGGUAGUCCACGCCGUAAACGAAGAAUAUUAGGUGUCGGGGAGCAGAACUCUUCUUUUCCCCACCAAACACAAUAAAUAUUCCACCUCCCGAAUACAUUCUCAACAAUAAAACUCAAAAAAAUUAACAAANACCCCCACAACCCCUAAAACAUAUAAUUUAAUUCUAAACAACACAAAAAACCUUACCAACUCUUUACAUCCCUCUUACCACACCUUAACCAAUACUUUCCUUCUUUACACAAAAAACAAAUAAUACAUAAUUAUCUUCACCUCUUCUCUUUAAAUAUUAAAUUAAAUCCCCCAACAAACACAACCCUUAUCCUUAUUAACCACCACUCCCCCCCCCCACUCUUUUUAAACUACCACCCAUAACCUCCAAAAAAAUAAAAAUAACAUCAAAUCAUCAUCCCCCCUAUCAUUUAUUCUACACACCUCCUACAAUAACAUAAACAAAAAAAAACAAUCACCUCACUAUAAACAAAUCUCAAAAAUAACAUCCCACUUCAAACUAUAAUCUUCAACCCCACUACAC
Molecule: ribosomal RNA, 1119 nt
Filed under: uncultured bacterium
Lineage: Bacteria
Description: partial 16S ribosomal RNA
Rfam family: Bacterial small subunit ribosomal RNA (bases 1-672)
Source: RNAcentral